RNAcentral lists this ribosomal RNA (301 nucleotides) under uncultured bacterium. RNAcentral's name for it is "partial 16S ribosomal RNA". It matches the Rfam family "Bacterial small subunit ribosomal RNA", at positions 509 to 807 of the family's 1533-position model. The record is from RNAcentral.
CAGCAGCCACGGGAAUACGUAGGGUGCGAGCGUUAAUCGGAAUUACUGGGCGUAAAGCGUGCGCAGGCGGCUUUGCAAGACAGAUGUGAAAUCCCCGGGCUCAACCUGGGAACUGCAUUUGUGACUGCAAGGCUAGAGUACGGUAGAGGGGGAUGGAAUUCCGCGUGUAGCAGUGAAAUGCGUAGAUAUGCGGAGGAACACCAAUGGCGAAGGCAAUCCCCUGGACCUGUACUGACGCUCAUGCACGAAAGCGUGGGGAGCAAACAGGAUUAGAGACCCGGGUAGUCCCUGUCUCUUAUAC